GACGAACGCUGGCGGCGUGCCUAAUACAUGCAAGUAGAACGCUGAAGGAGGAGCUUGCUUCUCUGGAUGAGUUGCGAACGGGUGAGUAACGCGUAGGUAACCUGCCUGGUAGCGGGGGAUAACUAUUGGAAACGAUAGCUAAUACCGCAUAAUAGUAGAUGUUGCAUGACAUUUGCUUAAAAGGUGCAAUUGCAUCACUACCAGAUGGACCUGCGUUGUAUUAGCUAGUUGGUGGGGUAACGGCUAACCAAGGCGACGAUACAUAGCCGACCUGAGAGGGUGAUCGGCCACACUGGGACUGAGACACGGCCCAGACUCCUACGGGAGGCAGCAGUAGGGAAUCUUCGGCAAUGGACGGAAGUCUGACCGAGCAACGCCGCGUGAGUGAAGAAGGUUUUCGGAUCGUAAAGCUCUGUUGUAAGAGAAGAACGAGUGUGAGAGUGGAAAGUUCACACUGUGACGGUAUCUUACCAGAAAGGGACGGCUAACUACGUG
RNAcentral lists this ribosomal RNA (495 nucleotides) under uncultured bacterium. RNAcentral describes it as "partial 16S ribosomal RNA". It matches the Rfam family "Bacterial small subunit ribosomal RNA", at positions 28 to 507 of the family's 1533-position model. The record is from RNAcentral.